RNAcentral lists this ribosomal RNA (109 nucleotides) under Bacteroidales bacterium. Lineage: Bacteria; Pseudomonadati; Bacteroidota; Bacteroidia; Bacteroidales. The record is from RNAcentral.
UAAGGUGGCAAUAGCACGAGGGCUCCACCUCUUCCCAUUCCGAACAGAGAAGUUAAACCUCGUCACGCCGAUGAUACUGCGAAAGUGGAAAAGUAGGUAACCGCCCCCU